This is a non-coding RNA of Paramuricea clavata, 579 nucleotides long. Lineage: Eukaryota; Metazoa; Cnidaria; Anthozoa; Malacalcyonacea; Plexauridae. The record is from the annotation of a GenBank genome assembly.
UUUGAAGGCGUCAAAGACAAAUUGUUUACUGCAAAAAAUUUUAUUUAAUAUAAAGCUCAAAAAUACAGCUGUACCUUCACACAAUCCUUACACAAAUACAAACACACACAAAUACACACACACACACACUCAACACUCCCAUGCAUGCAAACACACGCCAGUCCGAGAUAUAACAAAUGAGUAUCGUUCAGUAACCAGUAUAGUGCCUGACGACGAGAACAGUUCUUCGUCUGCUAACGUUAAAGGAUCUGUCUGUCACAUUUUUCGUCGUGCUAAUGGCAGCAUUUGUCAUUUCUUUCAUCUUUGAAUCCAAAGCUCUAAAUGAUGAAAAAUUGGCGUCGUUCUUUGCCAGGAUGUUCAAAUGAAACCUCAUAUAUAAGAUCGUCUUUGAAAUGUCUGAAUAACCCGCAGUAACAAUGUUACAUAAACUGUUCGCUGGGUAUGACAGUUAUGGCUUUCCACCUCUCCUAGCUUCCAAAAACAAAUCUUGUUAACCAAUAGUCCAGAAAGCAAGAAAUCUUGUGUCGCAUUAAUCGCUACAAGUUGCUUCGCUGCGACAGCCCCGUCCAUGCUUUCGAA